RNAcentral lists this transfer RNA (73 nucleotides) under Stegodyphus mimosarum. It matches the Rfam family "tRNA". From Rfam's summary of the family: Transfer RNA (tRNA) molecules are approximately 80 nucleotides in length. Lineage: Eukaryota; Metazoa; Arthropoda; Arachnida; Araneae; Eresidae. The record is from Rfam by way of RNAcentral.
GCCUUCUUGGUGUAGUGGUCAGCAUGCUCGACGCGUAACCGAGAGGUCCGUGGUUCGAUUCCCGGCGAAAGCG